UACGUAGGGAGCAAGCGUUGUCCGGAAUCAUUGGGCGUAAAGCGCGCGUAGGUGGCUUCGUAAGUCCGUUGUGAAAGUCAAAGGCUCAACCUUUGAAAGCCGAUGGAUACUGCGGAGCUAGAGUACGGAAGAGGCGAGUGGAAUUCCCGGUGUAGUGGUGAUAUGCGUAGAUAUCGGGAGGAACACCAGUGGCGAAGGCGGCUUUCUGGGCCUUACCUGACGCUGAGACGCGAAAGCGUGGGGAGCGAACCGG
Molecule: ribosomal RNA, 253 nt
Filed under: uncultured bacterium
Lineage: Bacteria
Description: partial 16S ribosomal RNA
Rfam family: Bacterial small subunit ribosomal RNA
Source: RNAcentral